Molecule: ribosomal RNA, 253 nt
Filed under: uncultured bacterium
Lineage: Bacteria
Description: partial 16S ribosomal RNA
Rfam family: Bacterial small subunit ribosomal RNA
Source: RNAcentral
UACGAAGGGGGCUAGCGUGGUCCGGAAGAACUGGGGGAAAAGGGUGCGUAGGCGGGUCUUUAAGUCAGGGGGGAAAUCCUGGAGCUCAACUCCAGAACUGCCUUUGAUACUGAAGAUCUUGAGUUCGGGAGAGGUGAGUGGAACUGCGAGUGUAGAGGUGAAAUUCGUAGAUAUUCGCAAGAACACCAGUGGCGAAGGCGGCUCACUGGCCCGAUACUGACGCUGAGGCACGAAAGCGUGGGGAGCAAACAGG